CAUACUAAAUACGAAGCCCUCCCCCUAAGCUCCACAGAAAAACAAACCUAAUUCUCCCCCAUGUAACAACAGGACUUGUAGAUUUGCUGUACGUCCGUACACGAAGACAGCCCUCCCGAGGAAUGUAUAUAAUGUUAACAUUUACAUUUGGCAGCAUGCCACUUUCAGAGUAGCUCCUUAGCACCUCAAGGUUCAGCCUUGUGCAAGGACUAAGCUUGGACAUGCCAUCCACUCUCUUAAACGGUAUGGCUUCCUUUUCGCCACACUUGCUGAGGUCAAUGUCGUCGGUAAUAGGGCUGUGGUGGGAUGACGUGUCCACCACAAACACUUCAUAAAUACAUGUGAAUCCAUUCAGGAGAAUACUGAUUGCCAGUAUUAAGGAAAUCCUUGGUUGAGAGAAUCCCCAAGACACAAGGAACAAAGUUCCUGUUUUCAUCGUAAGUCCUCAUAACCUUAACCCUUUUUAUUGUUAGAAUGAAUUAUUCAUCAUUAUGGAAUAGAGAAAAUAUAUUCCGUCAUAAAUAUUCUAGCAAGUUUUGAAGGGUUAUGUAAUGUAACUAUAUUACCAGUGUCCACAAAUUUUUACUCUGCAUGGCAAUAUAUAACCUUUUAUAAUAUUCUUAUACUAUGUAACUUUGGCACAAAGAAAGAAUGUAUUUACUCUUUCAAAUGAAUAUCUAACAAAUGUUCUUGUUUUUAUUUGUUAUGUUUAUACAAAUUAUUUUUUUCAGUCUAAAAGGGCCAAUUGUUCAAAUGUGUGCAUGUAGUAUAAAGUGGUAACACACAAGAUCAUUGAGGACUGCACCUGCUGCUUGGGGCUUGCCAGCUGGGAGCAUCCCCUGCCAAGUGGGGCCCAGAUGGGCAGUUACUUUUUGAUGAAAAGCGGACGCAGCCAUACAUUGACAAUACGGGCACAUAAUUGUAUAGCUUGUCCAACAGUAGGAAUCCCAGAAAAGAUUCCCACGGAACAGGGGACCAACUUUACGGCCUAAUGAAAUAGUUGGACAGGGGGCUUGGCAUGAAGGGAAUCUGAAGAACAACUCACCAUCCACCAUCUAAUAGCCGGCUUUGCCGGUUUAGCACUUUUGGGUUGAUGAAGGACCUGUGUUGUAUGAGCUGGGCUUUAAUUUGCUUUUGGAGAAACCUUUGAUCCACAUAGCCAACCUGUGUUUUGGACUUAUGUUCGGUCUGGCCUGCCAUCAGUUUGGUUUGUUCUUUGAUUUGAUAUAAGUUUGCCUUUCAGGAGUGAGAUGAUUCAAGUAAAUGUGUGAUAUUUAUUGUAUUCCCACAAGUGCAACAUUAUACAAUAUAGUCAUGAAAAAACAGUACACGAUCAUAACAAAAAAAUCUAACAAGGGAAGAUUAUAUUUUGUUAUUGACUCAAGUUUUUGAUCAAGGGUGGUCACUAUUUGGAACUUUUCCUGUACAGUUAUAGCAUAGUUUUUAUUUUGUGUGUUCUAUGUGAAUGAUUUUCAUGUAUGGUUGCUGUCAUCCAUAAACGGUUAUUCAAGCAAAGAUUGGUAAUGUUUUAACUGGAGAAAGGGGAUUCUGAUCUGCCAUCUGGAACCCAGAGCCAUUAAGGUUUAUAAAAGGACGACAUGGAUGAUGUUGUUUGUUACUUCAUUGUCGUUUCCUAUUUUUUUAAACCUUUGCCUGUCUUUCUAACAUCCUCUUGCAAUGUUACUUAUUUACAGAGGUAGCAUUAUGUAUGCAUAUGUAUUAUGCUACCUUGGCAGUACGAAGUUUGAAACUAUGGUCAUACUGUACAAAUGCUUGGAGAUGAAAAAAACAACACUUGUAAUCUCCACUACCCUCAUUCAUAAAGACUACUCUGCAUAGUUGGAAUUUCACUCCUUUUCUCUCUUGCUCGUUCUACCUCUCACUCUCUUUUUCACUCUUGCACUCGCUCACUCGUGUAGUUAUGUCGAGAUAUGUUGUCCUUCUUUUCCAAGUCUUCUGAUUUGUUUCCUUUUCUCCUGCAAAUCCUGUUGAGAACAGAGUUAAUGAAAAACAGUCAGCAUGGAGAAUGGCAUAAAAGGCUUAUAUUCACUAUAUGAUAUUACUUAGUAAGUGAUAGCAACUCAGGCAUGACAACCAAUAAACAAACUCUUUGUUUAUUGGUUGUCAUGUAUGUCAUGAAUCUGUGGUUUUCGGAACAAGGGGCAAUUUAGUUUAAACUUACUGAGUGGUAAUAAAAGUACACUUCCAGGUUGAGCAGACAUGAACAUUAUUAAUCCAGAUGAAAGCAAUUAAAUUCUUAGAGUAGUUUGUCAUUUCAUUCCGGUUCAGAUUGACAUGUAUGAAUUGUUUUAAUUGGACCUACCCUUGACAUUCCUGCAUCUCCUCUACAGUCUCUGGCAGUUGUUUGUUGAGGGUCUCUGGGAGGAAGACAUUAACCACUGCAGAGCCAACUGUGAUGCUUCCCAUGAGAAUGUAGGGCAGAAACUUGCUGUAUGUACCUGUUAAAUACAAUUGAUAAAGAUCAACUCAAUACUUUUGUGGUUUUGUAAAGAAAAAAAAAAAAGCCUUUCUCUGUAUUAAGUUAACAAAGAACCUUGAAUACAUUUCCCACCUUGUAUUUACAAAGUUAGUUCAUCCUGUAACACUUUACAGUAAAGGUACAAUAAUGAACUGUUAAUUAACAUUAGGUAAUGCAGUAAUAAACAAUAACGUGGGUUUUGGUGUUUCCUUCCUCUGCCACGUACCUAAAUAUAUGACGUACGGAGCGGUGAUGCUUCCGAUGCGUGCCGCGGAAGAACACAUUCCGAUGCCGAUGUUCCUCAGGACCGUCGGAAAUCCACCACCGAUGAUGAGGAAAGAGGAAAGAAGGGCUCUUCUUGGACAGUUCCUCAGAAGCAGAGUGGACAUGACAUGGGCAGGAACUUCAGUGCAGGCUGACAGGAAGCAGUUCAUGUAAGGGUCACCACUUAGGUUU
This is a long non-coding RNA of Gadus macrocephalus (Pacific cod), 2935 nucleotides long. RefSeq lists it as uncharacterized. The transcript is spliced from 3 exons. The record is from RefSeq and is a predicted model, not a curated record. NCBI's taxonomy places the organism in Eukaryota, Metazoa, Chordata, Actinopteri, Gadiformes, Gadidae.